RNAcentral lists this ribosomal RNA (375 nucleotides) under uncultured organism. Its description in RNAcentral is "partial 16S ribosomal RNA". It matches the Rfam family "Bacterial small subunit ribosomal RNA", at positions 527 to 896 of the family's 1533-position model. The record is from RNAcentral.
GUAGGUGGCAAGCGUUGUCCGGAAUUAUUGGGCGUAAAGCGCGCGCAGGCGGUCCUUUAAGUCUGAUGUGAAAGCCCACGGCUCAACCGUGGAGGGUCAUUGGAAACUGGGGGACUUGAGUACAGAAGAGGAAAGCGGAAUUCCAAGUGUAGCGGUGAAAUGCGUAGAGAUUUGGAGGAACACCAGUGGCGAAGGCGGCUUUCUGGUCUGUAACUGACGCUGAGGCGCGAAAGCGGGGGGAGCAAACAGGAUUAGAUACCCUGGUAGUCCACGCCGUAAACGAUGAGUGCUAAGUGUUAGGGGGUUUCCCGCCCCCCUUAGUGCUGCAGCUAACGCAUUAAGCACUCCGCCUGGGGGAGUACGGCCGCAAGGCUG